Molecule: ribosomal RNA, 253 nt
Filed under: uncultured bacterium
Lineage: Bacteria
Description: partial 16S ribosomal RNA
Rfam family: Bacterial small subunit ribosomal RNA
Source: RNAcentral
UACGGAGGGUGCAAGCGUUAUCCGGAUUCACUGGGUUUAAAGGGUGUGUAGGCGGGCAGUUAAGUCAGUGGUGAAAUCUCCGGGCUCAACCCGGAAACUGCCAUUGAUACUAUCUGUCUUGAAUUUUGUUGAGGUAGGCGGAAUAUGUCAUGUAGCGGUGAAAUGCAUAGAUAUGACAUAGAACACCAAUUGCGAAGGCAGCUUACUAAGCAAAUAUUGACGCUGAGGCACGAAAGCGUGGGGAUCAAACAGG